AGUGAACGCUGGCGGUAGGCCUAACACAUGCAAGUCGAACGGCAGCACAGUAAGAGCUUGCUCUUACGGGUGGCGAGUGGCGGACGGGUGAGGAAUACAUCGGAAUCUACUUUUUCGUGGGGGAUAACGUAGGGAAACUUACGCUAAUACCGCAUACGACGUACGGGUGAAAGCAGGGGAUCUUCGGACCUUGCGCGAUUGAAUGAGCCGAUGUCGGAUUAGCUAGUUGGCGGGGUAAAGGCCCACCAAGGCGACGAUCCGUAGCUGGUCUGGGAGGAUGAUCAGCCACACUGGAACUGAGACACGGUCCAGACUCCUACGGGAGGCAGCAGUGGGGAAUAUUGGACAAUGGGCGCAAGCCUGAUCCAGCCAUACCGCGUGGGUGAAGAAGGCCUUCGGGUUGUAAAGCCCUUUUGUUGGGAAAGAAAAGCAGCAGGUUAAUACCCCGCUGUUCUGACGGUACCCAAAGAAUAAGCACCGGCUAUCUUCGUG
Molecule: ribosomal RNA, 492 nt
Filed under: uncultured bacterium
Lineage: Bacteria
Description: partial 16S ribosomal RNA
Rfam family: Bacterial small subunit ribosomal RNA
Source: RNAcentral